Alosa alosa (allis shad) is the source of this 769-nucleotide long non-coding RNA. RefSeq lists it as uncharacterized. The transcript has 3 exons. The record is from RefSeq and is a predicted model, not a curated record. NCBI's taxonomy places the organism in Eukaryota, Metazoa, Chordata, Actinopteri, Clupeiformes, Clupeidae.
UAUGCUUUUAUUUGUUAUUACUGUUUGCAUUUGUUCAUGUAAAGCACAUUGAAUGAUCUCUGUGUAUGAAAUGCGGUAUACCAAAUAAAACUGUGGUAUACCAAUUAUGAAAGAACAAAUAAACUGUGGUAUACCAAUUGUAACCCACAUGGAUAGCCAGCUUGCCCAUUGUGAUGUACCAAUAAUUCUUUGGUGACCCCUAGAGGGCGCACGAGACAGGUUCAAACAAUCAAAUAAUAAUAAACAACUGCUACUACAAAUUAGAGACGGACGUCGAACGGAUAACUAACGAUACAGAAAGAAAGAAGAAGAAUAUUAAUCAAAACAAGAAUAAUCUUGACCAAACAGAAAUCAAACACAUUUCUUUUGAUCGAAAAGCUUCAAUCCUGAUAAACCACUUCCUGAACAAAGACCUCGUUGGACCAUCGUAACAGAUCGAAACAUAUUAAUCACUUGAAUCCUGACUGGUUUUUUGAUUACCCUUUCAACCACUCCUUGACCUACGCCUUGGAUACCUCGAAUUUCCUGCUGUGAUACCCUUCCCUGGACCAUUUGUGUCUACGCCUUGGAUACCUCAAAUUCCCUGCUGUGAUACCCUUCCCUGGACCAUCCUCAUCGCCAUUCUUCCUUGCAAUAUUCCCAGAAAUUGAACCCCCGCCUUCAUCCACUUUCCACCCAGUGACUGUGGUAGGAUCUGGGCAAAUACACCUACACCCACGGACUGUGACAUUAAGGAAUUACAUCCACCACUAUUUUUUAUUUAAUUAUU